UACGAAGGGGGCUAGCGUUGUUCGGAAUUACUGGGCGUAAAGCGUACGUAGGCGGAUCGAUCAGUCAGGGGUGAAAUCCCAGGGCUCAACCCUGGAACUGCCUUUGAUACUGUCGAUCUGGAGUAUGGAAGAGGUGAGUGGAAUUCCGAGUGUAGAGGUGAAAUUCGUAGAUAUUCGGAGGAACACCAGUGGCGAAGGCGGCUCACUGGUCCAUUACUGACGCUGAGGUGCGAAAGCGCGGGGAGCAAACAGG
RNAcentral lists this ribosomal RNA (253 nucleotides) under uncultured bacterium. Its description in RNAcentral is "partial 16S ribosomal RNA". It matches the Rfam family "Bacterial small subunit ribosomal RNA", at positions 524 to 776 of the family's 1533-position model. The record is from RNAcentral.